RNAcentral lists this ribosomal RNA (439 nucleotides) under uncultured bacterium. Its description in RNAcentral is "partial 16S ribosomal RNA". It matches the Rfam family "Bacterial small subunit ribosomal RNA", at positions 339 to 795 of the family's 1533-position model. The record is from RNAcentral.
CUACGGGUCGCAGCAGUGGGGAAUAUUGCACAAUGGGGGAAACCCUGAUGCAGCAACGCCGCGUGGAGGAUGACGCAUUUCGGUGUGUAAACUCCUUUUAUAUAGGAAGAUAAUGACGGUACUAUAUGAAUAAGCACCGGCUAACUCCGUGCCAGCAGCCGCGGUAAUACGGAGGGUGCAAGCGUUACUCGGAAUCACUGGGCGUAAAGCGCGCGCAGGCGGCCUUUUAAGUUGGAUGUGAAAGCCUACGGCUCAACCGUAGAACUGCAUCCAAAACUACUAGGCUAGAGUCUGGGAGGGGAAGAUGGAAUUAGGUGUGUAGGGGUAAAAUCCGUAGAGAUAACUAGGAAUACCAAAAGCGAAGGCAAUCUUCUGGAACAAUACCGACGCUGAGGCGCGAAAGCGUGGGGAGCAAACAGGAUUAGAUACCCGCGUAGUC